RNAcentral lists this ribosomal RNA (246 nucleotides) under uncultured bacterium. Its description in RNAcentral is "partial small subunit ribosomal RNA". It matches the Rfam family "Bacterial small subunit ribosomal RNA", at positions 26 to 288 of the family's 1533-position model. The record is from RNAcentral.
AGGACGAACGCUGGCGGCGUGCUUAACACAUGCAAGUCGAACGGAAAGGCCCUUUCGGGGGUACUCGAGUGGCGAACGGGUGAGUAACACGUGACUAACCUACCCUUGAGUGGGGAAUAACUUCGGGAAACCGAGGCUAAUACCGCAUAACACCUACGGGUCAAAGGGGCAAUUCGCUUAAGGAGGGGGUCGCGGCAGAUUAGUUAGUUGGCGGGUAAUGGCCCACCAAGACGGUGAUCUGUAUCC